This 468-nucleotide ribosomal RNA is filed under the name uncultured bacterium. Its description in RNAcentral is "partial 16S ribosomal RNA". It matches the Rfam family "Bacterial small subunit ribosomal RNA", at positions 28 to 507 of the family's 1533-position model. The record is from RNAcentral.
GACGAACGCUGGCGGCGUGCUUAACACAUGCAAGUCGAACGGAAAGGCCCUGCGCUUGUUGCGUGCUCGAUUGGCGAACGGGUGAGUAACACGUGAGGAACCUCCCCCUGUCUUAGUGAUAACUUCAGGAGACUGGGGCGCAUAUCGGAGAUAAGCUACUGCUCCAUGGUGUGGGUUGGAAAGUUUCGGCUGUUGUGUAUGGACUCGCUGCUUAUCAGCUUGUUGGUGUGGUAGUGGCUUACCACGGGUUUGACGGGUAGCCGGCCUGAGAGGGUGAACGGCGUCCUGGGGACUGAGAGAGGGAGCAGAAUGCUAUGGGAGGCAGUAGGGGGGAAUAUUGCAGAGUGGGGGCAAGCCUGAGGUAGAAAUGCCGGGUGCGGGAUGCUGGCCUUCGGGUUGUAAACAGAUUUGGAAUGUGAUGAACAGUGAGUGACGGUAAUGGGUCAAGAAGCCACGGCUAACUACGUG